This 351-nucleotide ribosomal RNA is filed under the name uncultured bacterium. Its description in RNAcentral is "partial 16S ribosomal RNA". It matches the Rfam family "Bacterial small subunit ribosomal RNA", at positions 338 to 706 of the family's 1533-position model. The record is from RNAcentral.
CCUACGGGUGGCAGCAGUGGGGGAUAUUGCACAAUGGGGGAAACCCUGAUGCAGCAACGCCGCGUGAACGAAGAAGGUCUUCGGAUUGUAAAGUUCUGUUCUUGGUGAAGAUAAUGACGGUAGCCAAGGAGAAAGCCCCGGCUAACUACGUGCCAGCAGCCGCGGUAAUACGUAGGGAGCGAGCGUAGUCCGGAUUUACUGGGUGUAAAGGGUGCGCAGACGGCUGUGCAAGUCAGGAGUGAAAGGUUGGGGCUCAACCGCAAAACUGCAAUGGAAACUGUGAGUGGUGAGUAAAGUAGAGGUAGGCGGAAGGAGGGGUGUAGAGGUGAAAUGCUUAGAUAGAAAGAAGAA